ACCAAGAAAAGUUCCAAAAAGGAGAGUUCUUGGGGACUCGCGUUGAAUUUGAUAGAUGGUUUGGAGAAAGUUUAAUUUAGUUAGCAAACCAUGUCUUAUUCAUAGUCUAUCUUAAUGGUGUUAGACCACAAUGGCACUGAAAAAAGGGCCAUACAGGAUUAUCUUGGCAGCAGUAGUGAAUUUUGGACAAUGUAAAGAAAUUGUGAUCUAGACCUAAAAGUUAAUAGAAAGCUCCGGCCAACUCUGUGCCAGCAGCCGCGGGAACACAGAUGGAGCAAGUUUACUGCUAUUUAAUUAGGUAUACAGCGUGUGCAAACGUCAAUUAUUAUAUAAUAUUUUAUAAGAUUUUAAAAGUUUUAUAUAUUUGUAUUUAAAGUAAAGGAAUUUUCCAAGUAUUAGU
Molecule: ribosomal RNA, 400 nt
Filed under: Limnomonas spitsbergensis
Lineage: Eukaryota; Viridiplantae; Chlorophyta; Chlorophyceae; Chlamydomonadales
Description: small subunit ribosomal RNA
Rfam family: Bacterial small subunit ribosomal RNA (bases 1-279)
Source: RNAcentral